Molecule: ribosomal RNA, 274 nt
Filed under: uncultured bacterium
Lineage: Bacteria
Description: partial 16S ribosomal RNA
Rfam family: Bacterial small subunit ribosomal RNA
Source: RNAcentral
AUACGAAGGGGGCUAGCGUUGUUCGGAAUUACUGGGCGUAAAGCGCGCGUAGGCGGACUGAUCAGUUGGGGGUGAAAUCCCAGGGCUUAACCCUGGAACUGCCUCCAAUACUGUCAGUCUUGAGUUCGGGAGAGGUGAGUGGAAUUCCUAGUGUAGAGGUGAAAUUCGUAGAUAUUAGGAAGAACACCAGUGGCGAAGGCGGCUCACUGGCCCGAUACUGACGCUGAGGCGCGAAAGCGUGGGGAGCAAACAGGAUUAGAUACCCUUGUAGUCC